Molecule: ribosomal RNA, 467 nt
Filed under: uncultured bacterium
Lineage: Bacteria
Description: partial 16S ribosomal RNA
Rfam family: Bacterial small subunit ribosomal RNA
Source: RNAcentral
GAUGAACGCUGACAGAAUGCUUAACACAUGCAAGUCGACUUGAAUUUGGGUUUUUAACUUCGGUUUGGGUGGCGGACGGGUGAGUAACGCGUAAAGAACUUGCCUCACAGCUAGGGACAACAUUUGGAAACGAAUGCUAAUACCUAAUAUUAUGAUAAUAGGGCAUCCUAUAAUUAUGAAAGCUAUAAGCGCUGUGAGAGAGCUUUGCGUCCCAUUAGCUAGUUGGAGAGGUAACGGCUCACCAAGGCGAUGAUGGGUAGCCGGCCUGAGAGGGUGAUCGGCCACAAGGGGACUGAGACACGGCCCUUACUCCUACGGGAGGCAGGAGGGGGGAAUAAUGGACAAUGGACCGAGAGUCUGAUCCAGCAAUUCUGUGUGGACGAUGAAGUUUUUCGGAAUGUAAAGUGGUUUCAGUUGGGAAGAAACAAAUGACGGUACCAACAGAAGAAGUGACGGCUAAAUACGUG